GGCCUCGUAUCUCAACUGGUCGAGUGUGUGCUGUACAAAAUUGUACGGGGCGUCCAUGCGUGGGUUCGAAUCCCACCAAGGCUA
This 84-nucleotide transfer RNA is filed under the name Echinostoma caproni. It matches the Rfam family "tRNA". Rfam says of the family: Transfer RNA (tRNA) molecules are approximately 80 nucleotides in length. Their secondary structure includes four short double-helical elements and three loops (D, anti-codon, and T loops). Lineage: Eukaryota; Metazoa; Platyhelminthes; Trematoda; Plagiorchiida; Echinostomatidae. The record is from Rfam by way of RNAcentral.